Olea europaea var. sylvestris is the source of this 2414-nucleotide long non-coding RNA. RefSeq lists it as uncharacterized. The record is from RefSeq and is a predicted model, not a curated record. Lineage: Eukaryota; Viridiplantae; Streptophyta; Magnoliopsida; Lamiales; Oleaceae. The transcript is spliced from 2 exons.
UUCAUCAAAGUUUUCAAAAGUUACGCUCCCAAGUAAUCGAUAUGAUAGAUAAAGCUAAUGAAUGACGAAUUCCCCUUCAUAAAUUGGGGUCUCCGGUCAAGUGGCGAUUUAACUUCUCUUAUCAAAUCCCACAAGACCAGGUCAAUAUUUUGUUUGUCAAUGAUGGUGUUACAGGCAUGGGGUACAGAUUGGGAUGGACUGAGGCAGCUUCGUGCAUUCUAGUACCAAGACUAGGUGAUUCCUGCACAAAGAUUCAUCUCCACCCUACUCACUCACCUUGCUCUCCUUCUACCAAACCCACAACCUUCGUUCUUGAAGGUCAUGAUGAAAUCAAGAUUCAACACUUCAAACUUUCGUCAAAUUUAUCUCCAGGUACAAAAUUACAUUCGAGUCUACUAGCUCUAUAACCUAUCCUUCAUCCCCAAUUUCCUUGCUAACACGUAUUUUAGUAAAUUCCUAUCUUCCCUCCCAUUCUUCCUCAUGCCCGGAGAGAAUCCUAGGGCGUGGACGGGUUAGACCAUUGAACUUGUACAAGAAAGGCAAAGGCACCUGGAAACUAUAAUCCAUGGCUGGGGUGACCAUCUCAAUAUUUAGAGCAUCUCCAAGAUACUCUAUUUUUAAAGCGUACAUUCUAUCAUUUUGAGAGUAUCUUUAAAUUUAGAGAGUUAAAAUUUUGAAAUAUUCCAACAAGUUCUUUAUAUUUAAUAUUUAAUUUUAGUACUCCAAAAAAAUAUUUAUUAUUUUUCUCUAGAUUAUUUUAUUAUUUCCUAUAUUGAAAACUGAAAUACUUUGAAUGCAUUUAAUUAUAGAAAGUGAAUUUGGCUUGACUCUUUAAAAUGGAGAGCAUAUUAUGUUUAAAGAGUCUCUUGGAGAUGCUCUUAGUCAAAUAAGCAUUUGAAGUGUUGGCCAGCUCAAUUUGUUAACUUAUUAAAGGAUAUACCUAAAUAAUAUGAGAUCUGAUUUUUGUUUAACAUCAAUGAAUAUGAUCAUAUCCAUUUGGGGUUGGGGAUGGAAAUAGGUCCAGACUGCUUGCUUGCUUGGCUUGUAUGCUUGUGAGAGCUUGGUCCAUGGGCGGCUUGGCUCAUUACAUCACGAGCCCAUGUUAUUUUUUUUAUUUAAUUAAUUAAAUUUCUUUGUCUUUUAUCCCGUAUUUAAUUUUUCUUUAAAUUCUAUUUAAUAAAACGAAAAGCUCCCAGGAUGGACCAACUUGGCUCAUCACAAGAAAGGCCCAUGGGCCAAGCCUUGCCCCUUGGUCAACGAGCAGAGCUUAGGUGGUCAACUCGACUUGGUCCGAUCCAUUGUAACCCUUAUAAUCCAUAAACAGAAAUUAGCUUAGAAAGCUAAAAAGACAUAAUGACUUUGUUCAUAAUUUUUAGUUGGGUUUUUGUUUUGGAUUCAAUAUGUAACACCUUGGAUUUAAUUUCUAUUUUGUAUGAGGUCAAAUUUUGUUAAUUUAAGGAAAUUUUUUUAACUACCAUACUUUAUGCUUACAUUUUUUAGAAUUAUCAAAGUUUGAGAAUCUUAAUUCAGGUCAUAAUUCAAGAUUUUUUUUUAUACAAAAAUAGAUAAUAAUUGAUUUACAUAGGAAUGUUACCUAAAUUAGUGGUUAUUAAAGGAUAAAUUGAUUUUUCACUCUCAUCAUAUUCAUUCUCUAAAAACUUGUUCACAGUUAUUAUCCAUUUUAACUUCUCUCAGAACAAGGAAAGUAUAUAUUGGGGCUCAUGAGUUCAUACUUUUUUUUACAUGUUUUCCGGUGAAAAUCACCCUUCUACAUGCCACAAGGUCACAACCACAAUUUUGCAUGUUACAACAAGGAGGCAUUUGCAAUUCAUAAAGGUAUGUUUGAAUCGUUUUAUAAUUUAUGACAACAUUUAUGUCACUCUAUAUAUGUGUUGUUCCUUGUGAACAGUAUAGGAUUCAUAUUAAAAGUUAAAUGCGAUAUUCGAUAUUUAAGAUCAUACAAGUCAAUGUGACCAAUGAUUUGCACAAUGAAAUUAUUGUAUUUCUUGUAUUGUUCACAAAUAUGUGUUAAUUGUGCUCAUACAUGGCACGCAAAAUUGUGAUAUUUGUAUUAUGUGAUUGUAUUUACGUGAAAUGUGAAAUCGUGACUUGAUAACGUGUGAGGUAAAAGAUGAAAUGCAACAAUUGUCUUUAUGUGUGACCUCUCAUAAUGACAGUGAAGAAGGAAUAGACUAUGGUUUUCUCUUUCCAAAUAAUAUUGAUAUGGUAAGAAUCUCAUUUUGUUUAAUUUGAAUUUUAAAAAUUAAAAAUCAAAUAUAUAUUACCACAAUUAAUGGGAUUAAAUAUAUUUAAAAUAUUUUUUAGAACAAAAAUACCUGACUUGUUAAUAAAAAGAGUUAAUACAUGAUUUUCUACCAUGGAAACUCGAACGCAUGGUGUCCUCUAAAGGGAAA